RNAcentral lists this ribosomal RNA (253 nucleotides) under uncultured bacterium. RNAcentral's name for it is "partial 16S ribosomal RNA". It matches the Rfam family "Bacterial small subunit ribosomal RNA", at positions 524 to 776 of the family's 1533-position model. The record is from RNAcentral.
UACGUAGGGUGCGAGCGUUAAUCGGAAUUACUGGGCGUAAAGCGUGCGCAGGCGGUUUUGUAAGCCAGUUGUGAAAUCCCCGGGCUCAACCUGGGAAUGGCAUUUGGGACUGCAAGGCUUGAGUGCGGUAGAGGAGACUGGAAUUCCUGGUGUAGCAGUGAAAUGCGUAGAUAUCAGGAGGAAUACCGAUGGCGAAGGCAGGUCUCUGGGCUGACACUGACGCUCAUGCACGAAAGCGUGGGGAGCGAACAGG